This 253-nucleotide ribosomal RNA is filed under the name uncultured bacterium. RNAcentral describes it as "partial 16S ribosomal RNA". It matches the Rfam family "Bacterial small subunit ribosomal RNA", at positions 524 to 776 of the family's 1533-position model. The record is from RNAcentral.
UACGAAGGGGGCUAGCGUUGCUCGGAAUCACUGGGCGUAAAGCGCACGUAGGCGGAUUUCUAAGUCAGGGGUGAAAUCCUGGAGCUCAACUCCAGAACUGCCUUUGAUACUGAGAAGCUGGAGUCCGGGAGAGGUGAGUGGAACUGCGAGUGUAGAGGUGAAAUUCGUAGAUAUUCGCAAGAACACCAGUGGCGAAGGCGGCUCACUGGCCCGGUACUGACGCUGAGGUGCGAAAGCGUGGGGAGCAAACAGG